RNAcentral lists this long non-coding RNA (1143 nucleotides) under Parus major (Great Tit). RNAcentral's name for it is "lncRNA (ENSPMJG00000014248.1)". The record is from RNAcentral. Lineage: Eukaryota; Metazoa; Chordata; Aves; Passeriformes; Paridae.
CUUCAGUUGUCGUGCCGGGACAUCCCCGACCCCGGGCGCGGCAGGACAGGAGCAACGAGGGAACAGCCCGGCACCAGGUCAGAACUGGAACGCACCGGGUCAGAACUGGAACGCCUGGAACAGGAGCUGGAGGGAAACACAUGCAAAGACCCGGCCAGCAGCUCCGGCCGCCGGGGCGUCUCCGAUCCCGGGCGCGGCCAGACAGGACGAACAAGGGAACAGCUCGGCACCGGGUCAGAACUGGAACGCCUGGAACAGAGGCUGAACAGAACACUUGCAAAACCUGGCAGCUCCGGCCACCGGGGCGCCCCCGGCCCCGGGCGCUGCCGGACAGGAGUAGCGGGGGGGGAAACAGCUCGGCACGGGCUCAGAACCGGAACGCCUGGAACAGAGGCUGGAGAGAACUGGAGAGAACAUUUGCGCAACAUAGACCGCAGGUGGGCUUAUUUAUAUCAGCUGGAGCCAAGCGAAGGUGCGAAAGGAGCCCGUGAGUGUCUUCGUUUGAAAGACGCGGGUCUGCUAAAGGAGGCAGGAGCCUCCUUUGCAAUAGAAAAUGUAAACCCCCUGCCUCCCAGCUGUUGUCAUUUUGAAAUUAAUGCGCUCUCACGCGAAGAUCUGACAGAAACAGACCUUUCUAGGUGUGUCAAUGAAGCGAACAAGCAGCACCAGGGGCCCGUGGCCAGCGCAGAGCGCCACGAGCCCGGUGCCGCCUCUGGCCGCAGGCGCUGUCCCCAGGCUGCAGUUCCGGGCACGGCCGGCAGGGGCGGCUGCGGUGACGGCCCCGCGGUGCAGGGGGCGCUGUGCCGCGGGCUCGGGGAGCGCGGAAAUGGCGGCUCGGCCCUGAGGGGAAGGGAUGGCCAGAGGCUUUGCUUCACCGACCUUGGGACAGCCGAUCCCCGUGCGCCUGCAGGACUCACGGACACGGCAGAGCCGGGCCGCCAGGAGGGAUCGGCAGGCGGGGGCUGCACGGCUACAGAGCAGCCAAAACUCGGAGCAGUGCCCGACCAGCGGCGGGGCCGGGGCAGCAGCCGCCCGGUUCCCAGCAGGGCAGGGAGAGGCCAGCUCUGGAUCCCGGGCACCCAGCACGGCACUGCGAUAGCUCCCUCUUUUAGGGAGCUAGCUGAUCCCAGGGUCAGACCCUGA